UCCGACUUCACUUCUUAUUAGCCU
Molecule: unclassified non-coding RNA, 24 nt
Filed under: Mus musculus (house mouse)
Lineage: Eukaryota; Metazoa; Chordata; Mammalia; Rodentia; Muridae
Description: oocyte_clustered_small_RNA9919
Source: RNAcentral